AUGCAAGACCUUCAGCUCUGGAGGCGGGGAUGUGGCGUCGGGAUUGGCGACUCCAGCCGUCAUCUCGAACAACUCCGUCCAUUCCAGCGCCCGCAGUGGCCCGGCGGAUUCGUGCAUGCCAUUCAGUUCUGGAGGCAUGGUCCUGCCGUCGGUACUGGGCAGCAACGGGACGCCGGCCUUCGUCUCAAGCUGCGCCGUGCAGUUCGCACAUCACAGCGCCCCGGCUUCGGCGAACACCACCAUCCACGUAGGCUAGAAGCGCAGCCAAGAGGUCCUCUUGCGCCAGACGAGAGGGCUGUAGUAGCUGAUCGUGUGUCGCCACUGGAAGCUGCUAUUCGAGGGUUCGCUGAUAGGGGUACUGAGGUAGUCGUGAACCCUGUGCUUGGCACUAUUUUUGAUUCGUUGGUAGAGGCGUAUGAAUUCUACAAUCUACAUUCAUGGGAGGUUGGCUUUGGGAUUCGCUACAGCAAGAGCAGGCAUAAUGUCAAUGGGAUGAAGUGUAUGCAGGAGAUUGUGUGUGGCUGCGCUGGCAAACCAGAAAGGGAGAACAACUCGUCAAUGAGGAGCAAUUGCGCUACCAUGCUUCAGUUGCACCGGAUAGAUGAUGGUGGCCGGUAUGUAUCUGAAAAUCGCGCCUCCCACAACCAUGAAAUGCUACGGACUCAUGCUGAGAAGCUGCAUUGGCCCUCACACCGGCACAUUGACACAUACACAAGAGAUCUCGUGAAACAGUUGCGCCAGAACAAUGUAAAUUUGGGGAAGGUAUACACCAUCAUUGGGAGCCUGUUUGGGCGUAUGGAGAACGUCCCGUUCACAAAGAGGUGCCUUAGGACUUUCUGUGGGAAGCUUAGCAAGGAGCAGGCGGAUGAUGAUGUGCGGAAGACUAUGGAUGCAUUCUCUGAGCUGGGGUCAAAUGAUCCAGAGUUUUCAUGUGUUGUUGAGGUUGAUAAGGAAAGCAAGAUAAAAACCCUGUUGUGGACCAAUGGUAGAAGUAAGAUGCAGUACCACAAUUUCGGGGAUGUCAUAACGUUCGACACUACGUACAAGACAAAUCUGUACGACAUGCCUUUCGGGCUAUUUGUGGGGGUCAACAAUCACUUCCAGAGUAUCUUCAUGGGCGUGGUCAUGAUGAGAGAGGAAACGAUCGAGAGUUUCAAACGGGUAUUCACCGAAUUCAUCAGGCUGAUGGGUGGCAAACCUCCAAAAACGAUACUAACAGAUCAAGCGCGUGCGAUGGAGGUGGCUAUACAACAAACGAUGCCGGAUGCUACACAUCGCUGGUGCAAGUGGCAUGUGCUACGGAAGGCGAAGGAGCACCUGGGGCCGCAUUACACAAAAAGCAGUGAUUUCAGGGCUGCGCUGUACAAGGUGGUCAAUGAGAUGCUCACUGUGGACGAGUUUGAAGCAGCUUGGGCUGAGCUGCUUGACAAAUACAAGCUUCACAACAACACGUUCCUGAUCCAGAUUUUCGAGGUUCGGCACAAGUGGGCGAAGCCUUAUUUUAGUGGGAAGUUCUGUGCGAAGCAAAUUAGUACGCAAAGAAGCGAGAGUGCAAACCAUUUGUGGAAGGGCUACAUCCCGCCUGCAUGCCCCAUGAACCUUUUUGUGAAGUAA
This 1614-nucleotide ribosomal RNA is filed under the name Triticum aestivum (bread wheat). RNAcentral describes it as "partial small subunit ribosomal RNA". The record is from RNAcentral. Lineage: Eukaryota; Viridiplantae; Streptophyta; Magnoliopsida; Poales; Poaceae.